AUGAACGCUGGCGGCGUGCCUAAUACAUGCACGUCGAGCGAACGGACGAGAAGCUUGCUUCUCUGAUGUUAGCGGCGGACGGGUGAGUAACACGUGGAUAACCUACCUAUAAGACUGGGAUAACUUCGGGAAACCGGAGCUAAUACCGGAUAAUAUUUUGAACCGCAUGGUUCAAAAGUGAAAGACGGUCUUGCUGUCACUUAUAGAUGGAUCCGCGCUGCAUUAGCUAGUUGGUAAGGUAACGGCUUACCAAGGCAACGAUGCAUAGCCGACCUGAGAGGGUGAUCGGCCACACUGGAACUGAGACACGGUCCAGACUCCUAAGGGAGGCAGCAGUAGGGAAUCUUCCGCAAUGGGCGAAAGCCUGACGGAGCAACGCCGCGUGAGUGAUGAAGGUCUUCGGAUCGUAAAACUCUGUUAUUAGGGAAGAACAUAUGUGUAAGUAACUGUGCACAUCUUGACGGUACCUAAUCAGAAAGCCACGGCUAACUACGUG
This 496-nucleotide ribosomal RNA is filed under the name uncultured bacterium. RNAcentral describes it as "partial 16S ribosomal RNA". It matches the Rfam family "Bacterial small subunit ribosomal RNA", at positions 29 to 507 of the family's 1533-position model. The record is from RNAcentral.